Molecule: unclassified non-coding RNA, 254 nt
Filed under: uncultured fungus
Lineage: Eukaryota; Fungi
Description: partial contains 5.8S ribosomal RNA, internal transcribed spacer 2, and large subunit ribosomal RNA
Source: RNAcentral
AACGCACAUUGCGCCCUUUGGCAUUCCGAGGGGCAUGCCCGUUCGAGCGUCAUUAAAUCCAAUCAAGCCUAGCUUGGUAUUGGGCGUCGGGGGUCUCCCGCGCCUCAAUUUCGCCGGCUGGCCGUCGCCCGUCUUAGCGUUUUGACACAUCUCGCUGACGAAGGGACCGGAUCACGCCGUUAGAACCUCACGAAUUUCGAUAGGAAUUCGAUUAGGUUGACCUCGGAUCGGGUAGGAAUACCCGCUGAACUUAA